CGGCGGACGGGUGAGUAACACGUGGAUAACCUACCUAUAAGACUGGGAUAACUUCGGGAAACCGUAGCUAAUACCGGAUAAUAUAUUGAACCGCAUGGUUCAAUAGUGAAAGACGGUUUUGCUGUCACUUAUAGAUGGAUCCGCGCCGCAUUAGCUAGUUGGUAAGGUAACGGCUUACCAAGGCAACGAUGCGUAGCCGACCUGAGAGGGUGAUCGGCCACACUGGAACUGAGACACGGUCCAGACUCCUACGGGAGGCAGCAGAA
RNAcentral lists this ribosomal RNA (266 nucleotides) under uncultured Staphylococcus sp. RNAcentral describes it as "partial 16S ribosomal RNA". It matches the Rfam family "Bacterial small subunit ribosomal RNA", at positions 96 to 354 of the family's 1533-position model. The record is from RNAcentral. Lineage: Bacteria; Bacillati; Bacillota; Bacilli; Caryophanales; Staphylococcaceae.